This 194-nucleotide ribosomal RNA is filed under the name uncultured bacterium. Its description in RNAcentral is "partial 16S ribosomal RNA". It matches the Rfam family "Bacterial small subunit ribosomal RNA", at positions 1299 to 1500 of the family's 1533-position model. The record is from RNAcentral.
UGGAGUCUGCAACCCGACUCCAUGAAGCUGGAUUCGCUAGUAAUCGCGCAUCAGCCACGGCGCGGUGAAUACGUUCCCGGGCCUUGUACACACCGCCCGUCAAGCCAUGGAAGCCGGGAGUGCCUGAAGUGCGUGAGCGCAAGCAGCGCCCUAAGGUAAAACCGGUGACUGGGGCUAAGUCGUAACAAGGUACC